GCCCAGGUGGUGAAAUUGGUAGACACACUAGCUUGAGGGGCUAGCGCCCGUUUAGGGUGUGCAGGUUCAAAUCCUGUCCUGGGCA
This 85-nucleotide transfer RNA is filed under the name Bacteroidales bacterium. RNAcentral describes it as "tRNA-Leu". It matches the Rfam family "tRNA". From Rfam's summary of the family: Transfer RNA (tRNA) molecules are approximately 80 nucleotides in length. Lineage: Bacteria; Pseudomonadati; Bacteroidota; Bacteroidia; Bacteroidales. The record is from RNAcentral.